Long non-coding RNA from Perognathus longimembris pacificus (Pacific pocket mouse), 130 nucleotides. RefSeq lists it as uncharacterized. Lineage: Eukaryota; Metazoa; Chordata; Mammalia; Rodentia; Heteromyidae. The record is from RefSeq and is a predicted model, not a curated record. The transcript has 3 exons.
CUUCUUUACAAAGAUAUCAGCAAUUCUUUGUUGUUCAGUCCUAUGAAGAGGAAAGAUAAAUGAAAACAUAAAAGAAUCAUGAAUGUGUUCAAGGCAUAACUAGGCCAUCUAUCUUACUUUUUAUUUCUUC